CUUGAUCACCUGCAGAGAUCAGGAGGUUGGCAACAUGCUCAAAGCAGCAUGCAAGUCCUCCCUUCCCCUCCUCCCUCACCCGCAAGUCUCCCCCCAUACUGUCCUCCCCCACCUCCAGUUGACCAUGGCAUCAGAAGCAGAAAGAACAUUCCAGCGGUUUGCUGUCUUUGGAGAAUCGUCAAGCAGUGGCACUGAAAUGAACAACAAGAACUUCUCCAAGCUGUGCAAAGACUGUGGCAUAAUGGAUGACAAGACAGUCACCUCCACUGACGUGGACAUCGUGUUCAGCAAAGUCAAGGCCAAGAAUGCCCGAACCAUCACUUUCCAACAGUUCCAGGAAGCAAUGAAAGAACUGGGCCAGAAGCAGUUCAAGGGGAAAAGCCCAGAUGAAGCCCUGGAGAACAUUUAUAGACUCAUGGAAGGCAAAGACCCAGCUACCACCGGUGUUACUGCUUUCCCCUCUCCUGGACGCCACACGCUCUCCAACUCCAGGAGGACUCUACACCUCAUAGGACAGAAGACCUCCAUGAUCUGGCCGCCACCAUGUCUCCAACUGCAUCUCCACCUCUGCCUGCUUCCCCCAUUGGUGCCCACCCCACCUCUCGCUCACGUUAUCUCCUCUACCCAGCAUGCUGCUCUCUCCUCCCGCUCUCACCCCCGUCAGUUCCGCUGAGCCAGCUCAUGUGAAGAUCAGCCCGGACGUCCUGUUUAAGAAGCAUCUGCUUGGAGCACCUCCCCAGCGAAGUGUGCACAGCCAAAUAAAUGAGGAACUGGCAAUGGCUUAUGAGACAGAGUGACCUGGUGAGGCCUCUCAACCCCAGACCAGGUCCUCCACUCCUACAUCCUGGCUUGUCUAAAGGCAUUGGUCUGGGAGCCAAAGAUUCCAACCUUCUGUCCCUGCUGCCUCCUCCAGAUCCACAGCUGUUCCAGGAAAGGUCAUGAGAAUUCAAAGACCUAAAGUGAAUCCCACAUCUGACCCCGACUUGCUGUUUUUUUUCACUUUCCCCGUCUACAAAAAUGAGUCCACUACCUUUAUUUAUCCUGGGAUAACAGAACUUGGAUCUGCUCCUGCUUGGAGGGAAACUCUCACGGGCUUUCCAUCGGUAUCCAGAGGCUGUGUGGAACUCCGGAAGAGAGAGAGGCUGGCCUCUGAAGGGUGGGCACCAAUCCAGGCUUGGCCCUCCUCUCUCCCAGCCCCCCUUACCCCCUCCCAGUGCAGGCUAGAGGAAGUAGCAGCUGUGGUCCUGUGGGGAAGACAGGCAGAGGUGCACCUGGCACUAUUGGCAUUUUCACAACACCCACCCGAACAACUUUAAACACACACACACACACACACACACACACACACACACACACACCAGCAGCAGCCUGGGGAGAGGUUAGGCCAAGAGCAGUGACUAUGCCGCUAGAAGGAGAAGGAGGCGGGGGAGCUACCUCACAUCCCUGGAUAGAGGCUGCCAUGUGAGGGGCUUUCUUCCCUCCCAUCUUCUCUCCCACCAUUUUGUCUUCUGCUCUCCCUUCUUUAAUUUUUCUCUUCUCUCUUCUGCCAGACUCCCUGCCCAGUCCUUGGCCUGAUGCCUGACUCCUUUUGUUCUCCCUAACCCUGUUCCCCUUCCUCCAUCCUUUCCUCUCGCCCUAUGAAUGUAGUGAAGGAAACAUGGCAAAAUUAUCCUACCGAGUGCAAAGUGAAGCGGAUCUUGGAAGCUGGAAAGUUUCCGCGAAAAAAGUAAACAAAAUCACCUGCCUUAUCCAAAUAAUGGAGGUGAAAUAAGGGUUUCAGCUUGAACUGUGCAAAUAGUAGGUUCGACUUUUCAGUUUUCACACGCAAACCUAACCCUUUACUCCCUCUUCCCUUUGAACUGGGACAGCACGGCUGUGUUUACUUUCACAGAGUGCUAAGGAAGCCUUCUGGAGAACCCCACGUGAUGAAGUUAAAGGGCAAACUGGGAUAAUUAUAAUGACAGGAAAAUACAAGAGCAGAGAGCAGUGCAAGCCAUGGUUUGGAAACAUCUCACCCUAGAAUAAUGAGAAGUGAGGAGGAGUCCGGGCAGGCGAGGAAUCCAAAUGAGCUCCUGGCCUCCCACCCCCUCCUCUGACCCCAGCCUCUGGUCCAGGGCUGGCCUGAUCCACAUUCUGUCCACAGUCUGCUUUAAACCAUGGAUUUUAUCUCCAAACAUUUGCAUUUCUACAGCAGCAGAAGCAUAAUUCUCUACCCAGAAGUUCCAACUACAAAGAUUCAGGCACCUGAACAAAGCAGUGAAUGCUGCUGCCCAGCCAAGGCCUCACAGAGGGGGAACCGGAGGAGCAAGAGGCCUGGGGGAACUGGCUCCCGCUUCUCUGCUGCCACCUAGUGGUGUUUCUCCCUCCAGCACCAUUUUUUAUUCCAAAAAUACUUCAUCCUGACCCACAGCUAUGCUCUCUAUCUGCUAAAAUGAUGUCCCCUGACCUCAAAACAAACACCCAUCUUCCUGACUCAAAAUCCUAACUUCUGGACCAGAACACAAACUGUAUGGCCCAUAUGGUUUGCGUGGGCCUCUCUGCAGUCACAUCCACACAACAGCCAGGGAAUUUUUAAACAGAUAGGGCUUUUACUCCUCUGCUACUUUUUUUUUUUUUCUUUUGGCCAUGCCGCACGGCUUGUGGGAUCUUGCAGGAUCCCAGUUCCCCAACCAGGGAUUGAACCCGGGCCAUGGCAGUGAAAGCCUGGAAUCCUAACCACUAGACCACCAGGGAACUCCCUUUAUUCCUCUGCUUAGAACCCUCCUAGGGCUCCCCACUGUGUGCACAGCAAAACUCCUAAUGGUCUCUGAGGCGUCCCGUGAUCUGGCCUCUGGUCCCUCUCUGACCCCAUCACUCAUCCGCUCCAGCCACACUGGACUCCUCACUGUUCCUCCAACUCCCCAGGCAUCCAUCUGCUUUAGGGCCUUUACAGUGCUGUCCUCUAUGCUUGGAGCAUUCUUCCCCAGACAAGCAUAAGUUCACUCUCACCUUGAAAUCUUUGUCCCAGAGUCACCUACUUCAAUGACCCUAUUUAAAAAUCACUGCCUGAACGCUCUUUGACAUAAAUCGCAGCAAGAUCUUUUUUACCCAACUCCUAGAGUAAUGAAAAUAAAAACAAAAAUAAACAAAUGGGACCUAAUGAAACUUAAAAGCUUUUGCACAGCAAAGGAAACCAUAAACAAGACGAAAAAAUCCUCAGAAUGGGAGAAAAUAUUUGCAAAUGAAGCAACUGACCAGGGACUAAUCUCCAAAAUAUACAAACAGCUCAUGCAGCUCAAUAUCAAAAAAACAAACAACCCAAUCAAAAACUGGGAGGAAGACCUAAAUAGACAUUUCUCCAAAGAAGACAUACAGAUGGCCAACAAACACAUGAAAAUAUGCUCAACAUCACUAAUUAUUAGAGAAAUGCAAAUCAAAACUACAAUGAGGUAUCACCUCACACUGGUCAGAAUGGCCAUCAUCAAAAAAUCACAAACAGUAAAUGCUGGAGAAGGUGUGGAGAAAAGGGAACCCUCUUACACUGUUGGUGGGAAUGUAGAUUGAUAUAGCCACUGUGGAGAACAGUAUGGAGGUUCCUUAAAAAACUAAAAAUAGAAUUACCAUAUGAUCCAACAAUCCAACUCCUGGGCAUAUACCUGGAGAAGACCAUAAUUCAAAAAGAUACAUGCACCCUGAUGUUCAUUGCAGCACUAUUUACAAUAGCCAGGACAUGGAAGCAACCUAAACAUCCAUCAACAGAGGAAUGGAUAAAGAUGAUGUGGUACACAUGUACAAUAGAAUAUUACUCAGCCAUAAAAAGGAGCAAAAUUGUGCCAUUUGCAAAGACAUGGAUGGAUCUAGAGACGGUCAUACAGAGUGAAGUAAGUCAGAAAGAGAAAAACAAAUAUUGUAUAUUAAUGCAUAUAUGUGGAAUCUAGAAAAAUGGUAUAGAUGAACCUAUUUGCAAAGCAGAAAUAGAAACACAGUUGUAGAGAACAAACAUGUGGAUACCAAGGGAGGAAGGGAGAGGUGGGAUGAAUUGGGAGACUGGGAUUGACAUAUAUACACUGCUAUGUAUAAAAUAGAGAACUAAUGAGAACCGACUGUAUAGCACAGGGAACUCUACUCAAUGCUCUGUGGUGACCUAAAUGGGAAGGAAAUCCAAAAAAGAGGGGUUAUAUGUAUAAGUAUAGCUGGUUCACUUUGCUGUACAGUAGAAACUAACACAAUAUUGUAAAGCAACUAUA
RNA transcript from Balaenoptera acutorostrata (minke whale), 4226 nucleotides. It is a transcript of the gene named tubulin polymerization promoting protein family member 2, with no coding region annotated. The transcript is spliced from 5 exons. Lineage: Eukaryota; Metazoa; Chordata; Mammalia; Artiodactyla; Balaenopteridae. The record is from RefSeq and is a predicted model, not a curated record.